ACGUAGGGGGCAAGCGUUGUCCGGAUUUAUUGGGCGUAAAGAGCUCGUAGGCGGCCGUUCACGUCGGAUGUGAAAGCUCAGGGCUCAACCCUGAGAUGCCAUUCGAUACGGGACGGCUAGAGGCAGGUAGGGGAGAUUGGAAUUCCUGGUGUAGCGGUGAAAUGCGCAGAUAUCAGGAGGAACACCGGUGGCGAAGGCGGAUCUCUGGGCCUUGCCUGACGCUGAGGAGCGAAAGCUGGGGUAGCGAACAGGA
This 253-nucleotide ribosomal RNA is filed under the name uncultured prokaryote. RNAcentral's name for it is "partial 16S ribosomal RNA". It matches the Rfam family "Bacterial small subunit ribosomal RNA", at positions 525 to 777 of the family's 1533-position model. The record is from RNAcentral.